GGGCGUGCUCAAUACAUGCAGUCGAACGUGAACAGGUGCACCCUUAGUAAGUGGCGCACGGGUGAGACGUAGGUUAUCUGCCUAUUAGUGGGGAAUAACACAGCGAAAGCUGUGCUAAUGCCGCAUAAGUAAGCAAUUAGAAAGGGGCGGUCGCAAGACGUCUCGCUGAUAGAAGAGCCUGCGGCCUAUUAGCUAGUUGGUGGGGUAAUGGCCUACCAAGGCAACGAUAGGUAUCCGGUCUGAGAGGAUGAUCGGACACACUGGAACUGAGACACGGCCCAGACUCCUACGGGAGGCAGCAGUUGGGAAUCUUGGACAAUGGGGGAAACCCUGAUCCAGCCAUGCCGCGUGAGUGAUGAAGGCCUUCGGGUUGUAAAACUCUUUCGACGGGGACGAUAAUGACGGUACCCGUAGAAGAA
This 419-nucleotide ribosomal RNA is filed under the name uncultured Bdellovibrio sp. RNAcentral describes it as "bacterial SSU rRNA". It matches the Rfam family "Bacterial small subunit ribosomal RNA", at positions 40 to 489 of the family's 1533-position model. The record is from RNAcentral. Lineage: Bacteria; Pseudomonadati; Bdellovibrionota; Bdellovibrionia; Bdellovibrionales; Pseudobdellovibrionaceae.